Molecule: long non-coding RNA, 1360 nt
Filed under: Trifolium pratense (red clover)
Lineage: Eukaryota; Viridiplantae; Streptophyta; Magnoliopsida; Fabales; Fabaceae
Description: long non-coding RNA (TPRA_LNC011525)
Source: RNAcentral
UUGCUAUACCUUAAAUUUAGUGUCUUGAAUUCAUACUUUUGGUGACUAUUUAAAGACUCCUUGUUCGUCACUGCACAAAAAAGGGUUAGCAAUCAAAUGAUAUAUUUGUUUAUGGCAAUUGAUACUUAAUAACUCAUAACAUGCAAAGAUAAUGCAUCAGGGUCAUCUUAUUGUUAGAAGCAUGAACAGUGAGCUUUAAAAGACUAUCCAACUUAAAUCCAUAAGAGAGGAUCUAAUAGAAUGGAUUUGGAUUCAAACAUGAGAGGGUUAUGUUCAUCAUCUCGCCAUUAAAAUUCAUUAGGGGUUUAAACUUCAAAAAUAGAAAAGUGGGAUAAGGAUUCAAUAAAUUUUAAUGGUGAGAUGAUCAACGUGAUAAAAAAUCCUAAUAAAAUCUCAUUAAAGUUUUUUUCUAACGAUAAAUAGGAACAGCCAGUGAGUAUCGAAAUGUUAAAAAUAGAGCUAGCACCAUCAAAUCUACGUCUACCAUGUCCAGAAACAGAUAAUGAUAAGAAUUACUACAACUAAAAAAGACUUACCUCUUGUUGUUCCCUGAUUCAAUGUAUUACACAAAAAAAGAAUUCUCUUCAUGAUGUCCUUUAGUUUGCACAUUCUUCAUCUAUCUAAUACUUAAUAUCAUCUUACAUAAAAGAAUACAUAAAAACCAAAAAUCAUACUUAAUAGUUAACGUCAUCAUAAUCACAACAAACAUGUGAAACUGAAAUAUGAAAUAAAUUGAUCCAAACACCUACAAAAUGACCAAGGCUCUAAUAUGGAAAGAAAUCACACCACUUUUAUUUUUCAGAAGCCUUGUUACAACGAAAGGUUUUCCAACACACAAAUUCAAUAGAUUUCAAUCACAACACAAGACUCAACAACAUAAAUAAGCAACAAUGUUCAACAAAAAGACUAAUCUAAAAUUGAGUUUAUUGCAAAGACUAAUUUAAAAUAUUACAGAUAAAUAACUUAUGCCUUAUUGUAAUAUAAAACUGGAGUACUCACACUACUUGUAUCACCCCCAAUCAAGUUUAUCUUUAGCAAUAGCCUAUAAGAAUCCAACCAAGUAUAGAGAAAUAAAUUACAGUGUCUAAGCCUACAAAAUCUACAUAGAAAAUGUUCUCAUUAGAUUGAAGAUUAUGAUGAUCAUCACAAUAACCACAUCUGAUAUUCAUAUGAGCCCUAAUCCAAUCUAUAUUCCUUUAGUUAGGUAAAAGAUUAUACCCCACCUGUAAAUUUCAUUACUCAUUAACCUCCAAAUUAAUUCAAGAACCAUUCCAAAAAUUUAAUUAACAGAUAAAGUUGAUGUACCAACACAAUUCAACAAUCAAGGAUGAAAGUUUUAAACUUUCACCAACAAAAAUCU